GUUGGGUAGGGGAGCGUUCUGUAAGCCUGUGAAGGUGGCCUGUGAGGGUUGCUGGAGGUAUCAGAAGUGCGAAUGCUGACAUAAGUAACGAUAAAGCGGGUGAAAAGCCCGCUCGCCGGAAGACCAAGGGUUCCUGUCCAACGUUAAUCGGGGCAGGGUGAGUCGACCCCUAAGGCGAGGCCGAAAGGCGUAGUCGAUGGGAAACGGGUUAAUAUUCCCGUACUUGGUGUUACUGCGAAGGGGGGACGGAGAAGGCUAUGUUGGCCGGGCGACGGUUGUCCCGGUUUAAGCGUGUAGGUGUGUGUUCCAGGUAAAUCCGGUUCACUUUAACACUGAGGCGUGAUGACGAGGCACUACGGUGCUGAAGCAACAAAUGCCCUGCUUCCAGGAAAAGCCUCUAAGCAUCAGGUAACAUCAAAUCGUACCCCAAACCGACACAGGUGGUCAGGUAGAGAAUACCAAGGCGCUUGAGAGAACUCGGGUGAAGGAACUAGGCAAAAUGGUGCCGUAACUUCGGGAGAAGGCACGCUGACACGUAGGUGAAGUGAUUUACUCAUGGAGCUGAAGUCAGUCGAAGAUACCAGCUGGCUGCAACUGUUUAUUAAAAACACAGCACUGUGCAAACACGAAAGUGGACGUAUACGGUGUGACGCCUGCCCGGUGCCGGAAGGUUAAUUGAUGGGGUCAGCGCAAGCGAAGCUCCUGAUCGAAGCCCCGGUAAACGGCGGCCGUAACUAUAACGGUCCUAAGGUAGCGAAAUUCCUUGUCGGGUAAGUUCCGACCUGCACGAAUGGCGUAAUGAUGGCCAGGCUGUCUCCACCCGAGACUCAGUGAAAUUGAACUCGCUGUGAAGAUGCAGUGUACCCGCGGCAAGACGGAAAGACCCCGUGAACCUUUACUAUAGCUUGACACUGAACAUUGAGCCUUGAUGUGUAGGAUAGGUGGGAGGCUUUGAAGUGUGGACGCCAGUCUGCAUGGAGCCGACCUUGAAAUACCACCCUUUAAUGUUUGAUGUUCUAACGUGGACCCGUAAUCCGGGUUGCGGACAGUGUCUGGUGGGUAGUUUGACUGGGGCGGUCUCCUCCUAAAGAGUAACGGAGGAGCACGAAGGUUGGCUAAUCCUGGUCGGACAUCAGGAGGUUAGUGCAAUGGCAUAAGCCAGCUUGACUGCGAGCGUGACGGCGCGAGCAGGUGCGAAAGCAGGUCAUAGUGAUCCGGUGGUUCUGAAUGGAAGGGCCAUCGCUCAACGGAUAAAAGGUACUCCGGGGAUAACAGGCUGAUACCGCCCAAGAGUUCAUAUCGACGGCGGUGUUUGGCACCUCGAUGUCGGCUCAUCACAUCCUGGGGCUGAAGUAGGUCCCAAGGGUAUGGCUGUUCGCCAUUUAAAGUGGUACGCGAGCUGGGUUUAGAACGUCGUGAGACAGUUCGGUCCCUAUCUGCCGUGGGCGCUGGAGAACUGAGGGGGGCUGCUCCUAGUACGAGAGGACCGGAGUGGACGCAUCACUGGUGUUCGGGUUGUCAUGCCAAUGGCACUGCCCGGUAGCUAAAUGCGGAAGAGAUAAGUGCUGAAAGCAUCUAAGCACGAAACUUGCCCCGAGAUGAGUUCUCCCUGAGACUUAGAGUCUCCUGAAGGAACGUUGAAGACGACGACGUUGAUAGGCCGGGUGUGUAAGCGCAGCGAUGCGUUGAGCUAACCGGUACUAAUGAACCGUG
This 1713-nucleotide ribosomal RNA is filed under the name Salmonella enterica subsp. enterica serovar Livingstone. RNAcentral describes it as "bacterial LSU rRNA". It matches the Rfam family "Bacterial large subunit ribosomal RNA", at positions 1223 to 2912 of the family's 2925-position model. Lineage: Bacteria; Pseudomonadati; Pseudomonadota; Gammaproteobacteria; Enterobacterales; Enterobacteriaceae. The record is from RNAcentral.